UCCCUGGUGGCUCUGUGGUAAAGCAUUCACUGCCAGUGCAGGGGACACAGGUUCGAUCCCUGACCUGGGAG
Molecule: transfer RNA, 71 nt
Filed under: Bos taurus (domestic cattle)
Lineage: Eukaryota; Metazoa; Chordata; Mammalia; Artiodactyla; Bovidae
Also listed under: 5 other names
Rfam family: tRNA
About the family: Transfer RNA (tRNA) molecules are approximately 80 nucleotides in length. Their secondary structure includes four short double-helical elements and three loops (D, anti-codon, and T loops).
Source: Rfam by way of RNAcentral